Molecule: ribosomal RNA, 468 nt
Filed under: uncultured bacterium
Lineage: Bacteria
Description: partial 16S ribosomal RNA
Rfam family: Bacterial small subunit ribosomal RNA
Source: RNAcentral
GACGAACGCUGGCGGCGUGCUUAAUACAUGCAAGUCGAACGGACAGAUCCUGCUCUUGUUCCGUUCACGUUUGCCGCACGCGUGUGAGUCACGUGAGUAUCCCGUCCCUGACUUUCGGAUAUCUCUUGGAAAAUGGGGCUCAAAUCGCAUAGGAUCUCUUGAUGCAUGGUGUGGGAUGGAAAGAUUCGGCGGUUGGGGAUCGACUCGCGGCUUACCAGCUUGUUGGUGGGGUAGUGGCUUACCAAGGUUUUGACGGGUAGCCGGCCUAAGAGGGUGGCCGGCCACAUUGGGACUGAGAUACGGCCCAGACUCCUACGGGAGGCAGCAGGGGGGAAUAUUGCACAAUGGGCGGAAGCCUGAUGCAGCAACGCCGCGUGCGGGAUGACGGCCUUCGGGUUGUAAACCGCUUUCGCCUGUGACGAAGCGUGAGUGACGGUAAUGGGUAAAGAAGCACCGGCUAACUACGUG